AGUCGGUCUACUACAGAUGAUGUUCUCAUUAGGGACCUGAGGGGAGAUAAGAUUACUAUAACAGUGACAGUGACCCUCCCAACUUGGAUUUUCUUUCCAUAAAAUUGAGAUUGGGAUAAUGAAUUCUCAGUUGGGGACUACACAUAUAAAUGGUGAUGAGCUUAUGGUUCCUGUUAGGGAUCAUGAGAGUGCUGUGGACUUGGAAAUGCCUGAGAUUUGAGGUGUUACCUCUCUAGGUUUCGAUGUUGCUUUUUGGGUUACUGUUUCCCUACUGUCUUAUUUUAUAGUUGUUUCUUUUAUGUUAAUUCUUGUAUGGAAUAUUCAGGGCAUUGUAGGAAAGCAUGGCUUACAGACCCUAAAAGAUCUAUGUCGUCAUAAUAAUCCUAUGGUGUUGGUGUCAGUGGAAAUGAAAGUUAGUGGUCAGUGAGUUGAUCUUACUUUCUUAUCUCUUAGGUUUGAUGAAUGGGUAAGGGUGGAAGCUAGGGAAUUGAGUUAGGGGAUUUGGGUGUCA
This 511-nucleotide unclassified non-coding RNA is filed under the name Hevea brasiliensis (rubber tree). Lineage: Eukaryota; Viridiplantae; Streptophyta; Magnoliopsida; Malpighiales; Euphorbiaceae. The record is from RNAcentral.